GAUCAUGGCUCAGGAUGAACGCUAGCUACAGGCUUAACACAUGCAAGUCGAGGGGCAGCAUGGACCCAGCUUUGCUGGGUUUGAUGGCGACCGGCGCACGGGUGAGUAACGCGUAUCCAACCUGCCCUUUACUCCGGGAUAGUCUCCUGAAAGGGAGUUUAAUACCGGAUGUGUUUGUCUUUCCGCAUGGGAGCGACAAAUAAAGAUUAAUUGGUAAAGGAUGGGGAUGCGUCCCAUUAGCUUGUUGCGGGG
Molecule: ribosomal RNA, 252 nt
Filed under: uncultured bacterium
Lineage: Bacteria
Description: partial 16S ribosomal RNA
Rfam family: Bacterial small subunit ribosomal RNA
Source: RNAcentral